GCACAUCUCCCUAACACUUCCUGCCACCUUCCGAGGCAGGAACAGCACCCGGACGGACUACGAGUACCAGCACUCCAAUUUGUAUGCCAUAUCAGGUGAGGCUUCUCCUCUGGGGGUUUUCCACCUUUGCUGUGGUUGUCUCUUCCACCACAGACAGCCCUCCUGUUCCCCACCACACCCCUGCCAGCCUCCAACCUGUCUGUGUCUCCAGCUCUUCCCAGAAGCCCUCCCUGACAGCUCCUGUCCUCCUCUGCUGGAUCCUGUGAGCACCACAGCCUCCUGUGCACCCUGAGCACAUGCCUUUCAAGGCCCUCCACCAGCUCAUUCCCUGCUGCGGGCAUGAGCCCUGCUUUCAGUUUCCCUCCCCAGUGAAUGAAUUCCCCUUGAGAGACUACGCAUAUGCUGCAAGUCCAGCCCUGCUCAGAGCCUUUCUUUGCCAAAUAAUCACCUUGUUAUUAAAGGAGCUGAUUGUUCUACUA
Molecule: small RNA, 479 nt
Filed under: Pongo abelii (Sumatran orangutan)
Lineage: Eukaryota; Metazoa; Chordata; Mammalia; Primates; Hominidae
Description: processed transcript
Source: RNAcentral